AUCGCUUCUCGGCCUUUUGGCUAAGAUCAAGUGUAGUAUCAGUUUAAUAUCAAGUAAAUAAAAUAAAUCUUUAAAAAAAAACAAGAAACUGCAACUGUCU
This is a small nuclear RNA of Oryctolagus cuniculus (rabbit), 100 nucleotides long. Its record names the gene U2. It matches the Rfam family "U2 spliceosomal RNA". Rfam says of the family: U2 is a small nuclear RNA (snRNA) component of the spliceosome (involved in pre-mRNA splicing). Complementary binding between U2 snRNA (in an area lying towards the 5' end but 3' to hairpin I) and the branchpoint sequence (BPS) of the intron results the bulging out of an unpaired adenosine, on the BPS, which initiates a nucleophilic attack at the intronic 5' splice site, thus starting the first of two transesterification reactions that mediate splicing. Lineage: Eukaryota; Metazoa; Chordata; Mammalia; Lagomorpha; Leporidae. The record is from Ensembl.